RNAcentral lists this ribosomal RNA (484 nucleotides) under uncultured bacterium. RNAcentral's name for it is "partial 16S ribosomal RNA". It matches the Rfam family "Bacterial small subunit ribosomal RNA", at positions 30 to 507 of the family's 1533-position model. The record is from RNAcentral.
AUUGAACGCUGGCGGCAGGCCUAACACAUGCAAGUCGAGCGGAUGAAGGGAGCUUGCUCCUGGAUUCAGCGGCGGACGGGUGAGUAAUGCCUAGGAAUCUGCCUGGUAGUGGGGGAUAACGUCCGGAAACGGGCGCUAAUACCGCAUACGUCCUGAGGGAGAAAGUGGGGGAUCUUCGGACCUCACGCUAUCAGAUGAGCCUAGGUCGGAUUAGCUAGUUGGUGGGGUAAAGGCCUACCAAGGCGACGAUCCGUAACUGGUCUGAGAGGGUGAUCAGUCACACUGGAACUGAGACACGGUCCAGACUCCUACGGGAGGCAGCAGUGGGGAAUAUUGGACGAUGGGCGAAAGCCUGAUCCAGCCAUGCCGCGUGUGUGAAGAAGGUCUUCGGAUUGUAAAGCACUUUAAGUUGGGAGGAAGGGCAGUAAGUUUAUACCUGGCUGUUUUGACGUUACCAACAGAAUAAGCACCGGCUAACUUCGUG